RNAcentral lists this ribosomal RNA (198 nucleotides) under uncultured bacterium. RNAcentral describes it as "partial 16S ribosomal RNA". It matches the Rfam family "Bacterial small subunit ribosomal RNA", at positions 328 to 539 of the family's 1533-position model. The record is from RNAcentral.
ACGCUCGACACCUACGGGAGGCGGCAGUGGGGAAUAUUGCACAAUGGAGGAAACUCUGAUGCAGCGACGCCGCGUGGAGGAAGAAGGUCUUCGGAUUGUAAACUCCUGUUGUUGAGGACGAUAAUGACGGUACUCAACAAGGAAGUGACGGCUAACUACGUGCCAGCAGCCGCGGUAAUCUGAGCGGGCUGGCAAGGC